Molecule: ribosomal RNA, 761 nt
Filed under: Prevotella melaninogenica
Lineage: Bacteria; Pseudomonadati; Bacteroidota; Bacteroidia; Bacteroidales; Prevotellaceae
Description: bacterial SSU rRNA
Rfam family: Bacterial small subunit ribosomal RNA
Source: RNAcentral
GAUGAACGCUAGCUACAGGCUUAACACAUGCAAGUCGAGGGGAAACGGCAUUGAGUGCUUGCACUCUUUGGACGUCGACCGGCGCACGGGUGAGUAACGCGUAUCCAACCUUCCCAUUACUGUGGGAUAACCUGCCGAAAGGCAGACUAAUACCGCAUAGUCUUCGAUGACGGCAUCAGAUUUGAAGUAAAGAUUUAUCGGUAAUGGAUGGGGAUGCGUCUGAUUAGCUUGUUGGCGGGGUAACGGCCCACCAAGGCAACGAUCAGUAGGGGUUCUGAGAGGAAGGUCCCCCACAUUGGAACUGAGACACGGUCCAAACUCCUACGGGAGGCAGCAGUGAGGAAUAUUGGUCAAUGGACGGAAGUCUGAACCAGCCAAGUAGCGUGCAGGAUGACGGCCCUAUGGGUUGUAAACUGCUUUUGUAUGGGGAUAAAGUUAGGGACGUGUCCCUAUUUGCAGGUACCAUACGAAUAAGGACCGGCUAAUUCCGUGCCAGCAGCCGCGGUAAUACGGAAGGUCCAGGCGUUAUCCGGAUUUAUUGGGUUUAAAGGGAGCGUAGGCUGGAGAUUAAGUGUGUUGUGAAAUGUAGACGCUCAACGUCUGAAUUGCAGCGCGUACUGGUUUCCUUGAGUACGCACAACGUUGGCGGAAUUCGUCGUGUAGCGGUGAAAUGCUUAGAUAUGACGAAGAACUCCGAUUGCGAAGGCAGCUGACGGGAGCGCAACUGACGCUUAAGCUCGAAGGUGCGGGUAUCAAACAGG